Molecule: transfer RNA, 76 nt
Filed under: Rickettsiaceae bacterium
Lineage: Bacteria; Pseudomonadati; Pseudomonadota; Alphaproteobacteria; Rickettsiales; Rickettsiaceae
Description: tRNA-Ala
Rfam family: tRNA
About the family: Transfer RNA (tRNA) molecules are approximately 80 nucleotides in length. Their secondary structure includes four short double-helical elements and three loops (D, anti-codon, and T loops). Further hydrogen bonds mediate the characteristic L-shaped molecular structure. tRNAs have two regions of fundamental functional importance: the anti-codon, which is responsible for specific mRNA codon recognition, and the 3' end, to which the tRNAs corresponding amino acid is attached (by aminoacyl-tRNA synthetases). tRNAs cope with the degeneracy of the genetic code in two manners: having more than one tRNA (with a specific anti-codon) for a particular amino acid; and 'wobble' base-pairing, i.e. permitting non-standard base-pairing at the 3rd anti-codon position.
Source: RNAcentral
GGGGAUGUAGCUCAGCUGGUAGAGCACCUGCUUUGCAAGCAGGACGUCGGGGGUUCGAUUCCCUUCAUCUCCACCA